GACGAACGCUGGCGGCGUGCCUAAUACAUGCAAGUAGAACGCUGAAGGAGGAGCUUGCUUCUCCGGAUGAGUUGCGAACGGGUGAGUAACGCGUAGGUAACCUGCCUGGUAGCGGGGGAUAACUAUUGGAAACGAUAGCUAAUACCGCAUAAGAGUAGAUGUUGCAUGACAUUUGCUUAAAAGGUGCAAUUGCAUCACUACCAGAUGGACCUGCGUUGUAUUAGCUAGUUGGUGGGGUAACGGCUCACCAAGGCGACGAUACAUAGCCGACCUGAGAGGGUGAUCGGCCACACUGGGACUGAGACACGGCCCAGACUCCUACGGGAGGCAGCAGUAGGGAAUCUUCGGCAAUGGACGGAAGUCUGACCGAGCAACGCCGCGUGAGUGAAGAAGGUUUUCGGAUCGUAAAGCUCUGUUGUAAGAGAAGAACGAGUGUGAGAGUGGAAAGUUCACACUGUGACGGUAUCUUACCAGAAAGGGACGGCUAACUACGUGUCAGCAGCCGCGGUAAUACGUAGGUCCCGAGCGUUGUCCGGAUUUAUUGGGCGUAAAGCGAGCGCAGGCGGUUAGAUAAGUCUGAAGUUAAAGGCUGUGGCUUAACCAUAGUACGCUUUGGAAACUGUUUAACUUGAGUGCAAGAGGGGAGAGUGGAAUUCCAUGUGUAGCGGUGAAAUGCGUAGAUAUAUGGAGGAACACCGGUGGCGAAAGCGGCUCUCUGGCUUGUAACUGACGCUGAGGCUCGAAAGCGUGGGGGAGCAAACAGG
RNAcentral lists this ribosomal RNA (764 nucleotides) under uncultured Streptococcus sp. RNAcentral describes it as "bacterial SSU rRNA". It matches the Rfam family "Bacterial small subunit ribosomal RNA", at positions 28 to 776 of the family's 1533-position model. Lineage: Bacteria; Bacillati; Bacillota; Bacilli; Lactobacillales; Streptococcaceae. The record is from RNAcentral.